This 345-nucleotide small RNA is filed under the name Histoplasma capsulatum var. duboisii H88. RNAcentral's name for it is "Histoplasma capsulatum H88 hypothetical RNA". Lineage: Eukaryota; Fungi; Ascomycota; Eurotiomycetes; Onygenales; Ajellomycetaceae. The record is from RNAcentral.
CCAGAACCACAGAGAAUCCCAAUGAAUGAAUGUGUAUGCUCAGAACCACUCCACAGCACCUUCUGCCCCUGAGCCAGAACUGAUGAAUUGGGUCCCCCAUGUCAGUGCAGAAUGACCAAGAAUCCCUAACAUCUCAGGCAAGGACGCGGCUGACUGAAUUGCCAGAGGAGUUUGCAUUCACUGUGACAAGCCUGGGCACAUCGCUCACCAGUGCCCCAACGCAAUCGCCCUGAGUAGAUCCCCUACAUGUGUGAAUGCUAUGUCACCCGCGGACAAGCAAGAGCAGGGAAAAGAAGAGCUCUCACCCUAAAAUGUAAAUGAGAGCUUAGGGAGCAAGAAGCUAGC